UGCAUUAUAUAUUUGAUUAUAGUUUUCGUCACAUGACCACCAUUUAUGUUGCGUCUCGUCUCGUUUCCUUCGCGUGAUAAAGGUUCGUUGACGACGAUAUUUAGUCAUACUUUUCGCUGAUAAAACAGCACUAGAAGGGAAACUGACCUCUUUGCUCGAUGGAUUAAUACACGAUUGCUUGGGGGAACUGGCCCUGAGCCAGCUACCAAUGCUACUUCCACCAACAGUGUACAAAGCUGACACCAUCAAGGAGUCCAAAUUGGCAUUUAUCGACCAUAAGCCUCCUCAACCACUCGGGGAAUGGGCCUAAACCCAGCCAUCUCACACUUUGGCAGCUGUCACCCAAAAGUUGGUUAGUUACUCAGGAAGAAGGAAUGGAAGUUGAUGCUCCUCCAGAUCCACCUCCACCUCUGCCUGGACAUGGGAAAAAAAAGGAAGAAGCAGAAGAAGAAGGAAAAAGUGGAGGGGUCGUAUGACAUUCCCCAUGCCCAUAAUGUGGAAGGAGGAGGGAUCUUCUGAUGGGACCAUGAUCAUGGAGAGAGAAGAAGAAAUCAAAGAG
Molecule: long non-coding RNA, 559 nt
Organism: Acanthopagrus latus (yellowfin seabream)
Lineage: Eukaryota; Metazoa; Chordata; Actinopteri; Spariformes; Sparidae
Exons: 5
Source: RefSeq, a predicted model, not a curated record